AAAACGCGUAAUUCAGUGUGAAUUGCAGAUCUACGCGAAUCAUCAAUAUUUUGAAUGUAAAUGACGGGCGGUUCUCUUCGGAGGACACGCUCGUAGAUUUUUGAGCGCGGCUAAUUAUUCAAUACCCUUCCUCCCACCUAAUAAAAAAAAAAUAAUUUUAUACGGGGAGGCCUCCUAAAGAAUUUUACUAGGGAGGAGGAAAAAGGUGCGAUUCAAGAAGCCGAUUCCAGGGAAAGAAGAAACUUACCCUGGUAAGGCAAGGGAAAGAAAAAAAAUUUGUCUAGGGAAAAAAAAAAUAUUCUAAAUAUUAAUCUCGUAUUCAAAAAUAAAAUUUAUAAAAAUUUCAAAUACCUCCGUCUCAAACAUCUACAAUUACCCCGUGAAUUUAAGC
This 391-nucleotide unclassified non-coding RNA is filed under the name plant metagenome. Its description in RNAcentral is "partial contains 5.8S ribosomal RNA, internal transcribed spacer 2, and large subunit ribosomal RNA". The stretch from base 1 to 110 matches the Rfam family "5.8S ribosomal RNA", at positions 50 to 154 of the family's 154-position model. The record is from RNAcentral.